AUUCCAGCUCCAAUAGCGUAUAUUAAAGUUGUUGCAGUUAAAAGCUCGUAGUUGGAUUUCUGGUGAGUUCGUUUGGCCGGCCGUAAAGGUCUGUGCCGAAAUGUUAUUCGCCAUCCUUGGUGUAAUCUUGUCCGCCAUUAAGUUGUGUGGGCUUGAGGAUGCCAUCGUUUACUGUGAAAAAAUUAGAGUGUUCAAAGCAGGCUUAUGCCGUUGAAUACAAUAGCAUGGAAUAAUAAGAUAGGACUUUGGUGGUCUAUUUUGUUGGUUUGCACACCAAGGUAAUGAUUAAUAGGGACAGUUGGGGGUAUCCGUAUUUCGUAGUCAGAGGUGAAAUUCUUGGAUUUACGAAAGACGAACUACUGCGAAAGCAUUUACCAAGGAUGUUUUCAUUA
RNAcentral lists this ribosomal RNA (392 nucleotides) under Triparma sp. RNAcentral's name for it is "partial small subunit ribosomal RNA". It matches the Rfam family "Eukaryotic small subunit ribosomal RNA", at positions 582 to 975 of the family's 1831-position model. The record is from RNAcentral. Lineage: Eukaryota; Bolidophyceae; Parmales; Triparmaceae.